RNAcentral lists this transfer RNA (64 nucleotides) under Episymploce cheni. RNAcentral describes it as "tRNA-Gly". Lineage: Eukaryota; Metazoa; Arthropoda; Insecta; Blattodea; Blattellidae. The record is from RNAcentral.
AUUUAUCUAAUAUAAAAAGUAUAUUUGACUUCCAAUCAAAAAGUUUGUAGAUACAAGAUAAAUA